CAGUCGAGCGGACAGAAGGGAGCUUGCUCCCGGAUGUUAGCGGCGGACGGGUGAGUAACACGUGGGUAACCUGCCUGUAAGACUGGGAUAACUCCGGGAAACCGGAGCUAAUACCGGAUAGUUCCUUGAACCGCAUGGUUCAAGGAUGAAAGACGGUUUCGGCUGUCACUUACAGAUGGACCCGCGGCGCAUUAGCUAGUUGGUGAGGUAACGGCUCACCAAGGCGACGAUGCGUAGCCGACCUGAGAGGGUGAUCGGCCACACUGGGACUGAGACACGGCCCAGACUCCUACGGGAGGCAGCAGUAGGGAAUCUUCCGCAAUGGACGAAAGUCUGACGGAGCAACGCCGCGUGAGUGAUGAAGGUUUUCGGAUCGUAAAGCUCUGUUGUUAGGGAAGAACAAGUGCAAGAGUAACUGCUUGCACCUUGACGGUACCUAACCAGAAAGCCACGGCUAACUACGUGCCAGCAGCCGCGGUAAUACGUAGGUGGCAAGCGUUGUCCGGAAUUAUUGGGCGUAAAGGGCUCGCAGGCGGUUUCUUAAGUCUGAUGUGAAAGCCCCCGGCUCAACCGGGGAGG
This 579-nucleotide ribosomal RNA is filed under the name Bacillus altitudinis. Its description in RNAcentral is "bacterial SSU rRNA". It matches the Rfam family "Bacterial small subunit ribosomal RNA", at positions 59 to 621 of the family's 1533-position model. Lineage: Bacteria; Bacillati; Bacillota; Bacilli; Caryophanales; Bacillaceae. The record is from RNAcentral.